CAAGUUUGGAACAGAAAGUUGGAUGUAAGUAUUGGGUGGUUACCUUAACAAUUUGGAAUUCACUAUUACUUACUCUUACUAAUCUGUCUAACAAAGAAAAUAAGCAUCUGUUCGAUGCUUCAUGAGUGUUGCAGAAAACACAUGGAGACUCGUCUUAUGUGCUUUGCCUGGGGCAUUAGCAAUGCUAUAAUUUGUUAUCACACAUAUGGAAGUUCCCACUUUUAUUGCACCUAUAGGUUUAAAUGUGUUUUGAUGAAAUGGAGAUUUGAAGAUUGUUAAGAAUGACAAUGAUUACAGUACGGGUGGCAUGGAAAUGCUACAGUAUUUUGACAUUUUUGGAUUUUUGUGGACCAAAUGCAAUGUACUUGCUAAUAUGACUUUUUAGCAAUUAGGUUACUGAUUGAAUGUUUGAUGAUUUGUUCAUAGCAUUUUAGGAGAUAAUCAGUGUUUUAGAGGACAAGAAAAGGCUGAAUGAAUGAAUUUGAGCUAUAUGUGUAAAAAGAAUGAAUUUGGUAAUAAAAAAGGAAAAAUGAGCUGUCAAUGAUUGAAAUUUUCUGGUUAGCCAGUACAUAGCACAAUUUCUACAUUCUGUGUUGCUGUUUUUGUGGUUAAUAAUUAUUCCGUCUAAACUACCAAAGCUGGCAUAAAUUCAUGUAUUUCUUACCUUAUAUUUAUCUUAAUUGAGAAUAUCUAUAAUAUGUUCUUUAUGUGGAACUGAAAAGUUCUGAUGAUAUCAUUCUCAUUUCUUUCCCUCAGUUAUUUUCAAGGUAUAUGAUUCAG
Molecule: unclassified non-coding RNA, 780 nt
Filed under: Hevea brasiliensis (rubber tree)
Lineage: Eukaryota; Viridiplantae; Streptophyta; Magnoliopsida; Malpighiales; Euphorbiaceae
Source: RNAcentral